GGUGGUUCUCGGGUGACACACCCCAGAAUCGGGCUCCCUCCUCUCUGGUUCAAGAUGCAUCACCCAAGAACCUCC
Non-coding RNA from Myotis brandtii (Brandt's bat), 75 nucleotides. NCBI's taxonomy places the organism in Eukaryota, Metazoa, Chordata, Mammalia, Chiroptera, Vespertilionidae. The record is from Rfam.